This 1337-nucleotide ribosomal RNA is filed under the name uncultured bacterium. RNAcentral's name for it is "16S ribosomal RNA". It matches the Rfam family "Bacterial small subunit ribosomal RNA", at positions 28 to 1386 of the family's 1533-position model. The record is from RNAcentral.
GACGAACGCUUUUGGCGCGCCUAACACAUGCAAGUCGAACGAGCGAAAGAGAGCUUGCUUUCUCGAGCGAGUGGCGAACGGGUGAGUAACGCGUGAGGAAUCUGCCUCAAAGAGGGGGACAACAGUUGGAAACGACUGCUAAUACCGCAUAAGCCCACGGUGCCGCAUGGCACAGAGGGAAAAGGAGUAAUCCGCUUUGAGAUGGCCUCGCGUCCGAUUAGCUAGUUGGUGAGGUAACGGCCCACCAAGGCGACGAUCGGUAGCCGGACUGAGAGGUUGAACGGCCACAUUGGGACUGAGACACGGCCCAGACUCCUACGGGAGGCAGCAGUGGGGAAUAUUGCACAAUGGGGGAAACCCUGAUGCAGCGACGCCGCGUGGAGGAAGAAGGUCUUCGGAUUGUAAACUCCUGUUGUUGGGGAAGAUAAUGACGGUACCCAACAAGGAAGUGACGGCUAACUACGUGCCAGCAGCCGCGGUAAAACGUAGGUCACAAGCGUUGUCCGGAAUUACUGGGUGUAAAGGGAGCGCAGGCGGGAAGACAAGUUGGAAGUGAAAUCUAUGGGCUCAACCCAUAAACUGCUUUCAAAACUGUUUUUCUUGAGUAGUGCAGAGGUAGGCGGAAUUCCCGGUGUAGCGGUGGAAUGCGUAGAUAUCGGGAGGAACACCAGUGGCGAAGGCGGCCUACUGGGCACCAACUGACGCUGAGGCUCGAAAGUGUGGGUAGCAAACAGGAUUAGAUACCCUGGUAGUCCACACCGUAAACGAUGAUUACUAGGUGUUGGAGGAUUGACCCCUUCAGUGCCGCAGUUAACACAAUAAGUAAUCCACCUGGGGAGUACGACCGCAAGGUUGAAACUCAAAGGAAUUGACGGGGGCCCGCACAAGCAGUGGAGUAUGUGGUUUAAUUCGACGCAACGCGAAGAACCUUACCAAGUCUUGACAUCCCUUGACAGACAUAGAAAUAUGUAAUCUCUUCGGAGCAAGGAGACAGGUGGUGCAUGGUUGUCGUCAGCUCGUGUCGUGAGAUGUUGGGUUAAGUCCCGCAACGAGCGCAACCCUUAUGGUCAGUUACUACGCAAGAGGACUCUGGCCAGACUGCCGUUGACAAAACGGAGGAAGGUGGGGAUGACGUCAAAUCAUCAUGCCCUUUAUGACUUGGGCUACACACGUACUACAAUGGCGUUAAACAAAGAGAAGCAAGACCGCGAGGUGGAGCAAAACUCAGAAACAACGUCCCAGUUCGGACUGCAGGCUGCAACUCGCCUGCACGAAGUCGGAAUUGCUAGUAAUCGUGGAUCAGCAUGCCACGGUGAAUACGUUCCCGGGCCUUGUAC